This 31-nucleotide non-coding RNA is filed under the name Mus musculus (house mouse). Lineage: Eukaryota; Metazoa; Chordata; Mammalia; Rodentia; Muridae. The record is from RNAcentral.
UAGGUCAGGAACUAUGGACAUGAUCAGGGUU